This 573-nucleotide long non-coding RNA is filed under the name Zostera marina. Its description in RNAcentral is "long non-coding RNA (ZMAR_LNC001761)". Lineage: Eukaryota; Viridiplantae; Streptophyta; Magnoliopsida; Alismatales; Zosteraceae. The record is from RNAcentral.
CAUCACUCUUGGGAUCAAUAGUGCUCUGAUACCAUAUUGUUGUGAGACUGUGAAAAUGACGGAAGAAAAUGAAUAAAGUAUUGGUAAAACCGUGCUGAUCACGGAUGUCUUCUUUCCUUCAUAUAGUAUUUACAAAAUGUAACUGUUUUCACGUUCACAACCAACUUUAAAUAAUAAAAACGUUACUUUUUUAAAUAAUAAAAACGUUACUUUCUUAAUGUGGGCAUUACUUGCAGUUAGUGUCAACAAAUAGGCUUCCUGAUUUUUCCGGAGCUUUCUUCUUGAGAUAUAUCAACAGGGAAAAAGUGGGUGCAUUCCGACCAAAGGAGAUUCUCAACAGGGAAAAAGUAUCAAGAUAGCGAAAAUCGGAUUCAAGGAACAGAGCUUCAACAAACCACAUAUUCGGUCGGCCCGCUUGGGUGAUGGGCUGCCGAUGGCUACUUCAUCUCCUUCUUCCUUUGCUCCAGUUGUGCACUCCAGCUGCAGUCCCUCUUGCACUGUGACAGAAUGGUUUAAAUUUCUUCUCUUUUCUUUUCAAUUAACCCCUGGAUCACCUCUCUCCUUAUAUAAUCG